UUGUUAUAUAAGUGUGGAUCUCGUCCUGUGAAUUUGUGAAUUAUGAGACAGUUUUAGCUCCAAAGAUUAGAACAGCGGUUCUUAACCUUUCUUGAGGUACCGAACCCACCAGUUUCAUAUGCGCAUUCACCGAACCCUUCUUUAGUGAUAAAUAAAAUAAUUUUUUUUUUCCAAAUUCAAGACA
Long non-coding RNA from Xiphophorus hellerii (green swordtail), 184 nucleotides. RefSeq lists it as uncharacterized. The transcript has 2 exons. The record is from RefSeq and is a predicted model, not a curated record. Lineage: Eukaryota; Metazoa; Chordata; Actinopteri; Cyprinodontiformes; Poeciliidae.